ACUAAAAAAUGAACUAUAUAUAAAUAAAAUAAAUUAAUUAUUGGAAAAAAAUACUAAUCAUAAAUUAUAUUGAAGGCAGAUUUUUAUUUUUAGAAUGUGUCUCACACAAAUACAGAAUAAUCUUAAAUUGAUGAGAUUUUUCUUUUAAAAAAUAAAAUAAAAUAUUUUUUUGGGUAAAAUCAAAGCAUCAAAUAUAAAACCUGUGCAAAUAGAACAUACUAGUACAAUAAGUUUAUGGGCCGAAUAUAAUUGAAUGGGCCUACCGAAAUGUGUUUAAUUUGAACAUACGAAGAUCAUAAGAACAUAACUAUCUUUUUCUCUGCAAGUGUUUUGAGCUAUUACCGAAAUGCUGAGAGGGUUUAAGCGCAAUUUAAAAACGUCUGGGCUAAAUGUAGUAAAAGUUAAAUCUUGGGGUGGAAAGUAUAAGAAAUUGAAAGUUUGUAAGGGGAAAAAGAAAAAAAAAAGUGGACCUGUCAGACUACCGUGCGACCACCCUAGCAAGGGUCGAGACCAGACUAGGUAGCGAUCCUCUACAGUGCGGAGAGCCCGAAGACAAUCUUAACCGUUAAUCACACUCAGAUCGCACAGCCAUUAUUCAUCAACCAGGGUUAUAGGGCAUGUCUCCUUAGAAAUCAAGGACACAGAGGUACUUCCUAUAGAACAGAUCCUGUUCAAGUAAGGUCGUGACCACUCGUGCUUUCUAGACAUAUAUAAAGUAGCUAUAUAUUCUCCGUGUCUUCGAUGUGGGACUUUAGUUCCCAACUUACUACCUCCUCCUGUGACACGUGUAACUAAAUUAAAAUGGUAACGCAAAAAACAUCUUGUACCAAAACCAAUUAUAUAUGGUUUACGAUUGAACCGAUUUUAAUCAAUGCUUUUAGCCUUUUACACUAAUAACUAGAUCAAUCAAUUUCGAAACGUUAACCACUAACACCAGAAAGAAGCAUAGUUAAUGAAACAUUUUGUAUUAUGGCUAAAUAAAAUUACAAUAAAUAUUCAAGUUCUGGUUAAAAAUCUUUUCUUUUUGUAACAUCGGGUUACAAAUUCAAAAACCCAAAAAAAAAAAACAAAUGAUCAAAAUUUUAUGGUCUCUGUUACACAUGAGCUCUACAUCAGGCUCUUGUCUUCUUGUGGGAUAUGGAAUAUUGCUUAUCGUCGCCUCUCUUUCUCGCAGAUUUAUCAAAACCACUUUGCUUUACCUUGUAAUCAGAAGAUUUGGUAGUCUCUAUACUGAUGAAGUGAUGAUCCUCCACUUGAAGAAAUCUUAGACUUUUCCAAAGCAUCAGCUUCUUUGCCACCAAUAGCAAAUUGUUCAAGCAGCUCAGGAUGAAACUCUAUCUGCGCUAAAUUUGUUUUGCUGCUUCCCUGAGAUCUUCGUUUACUGAUACAUUAUGAGAACUUACUUCUUCCAACCGAGGGAAGGUGGAUUCAACCGCUGUUGAGGUCUUCAGGAACAGCUACUGCACCUCAUAGACAAGAUUGAUUUUCUUCUUUGUGGUUCUUGCAUAUUGGAUUCAUUCAUGGCUUCAAACGCUUUUUAAAUAGAUGGUGAGUAGGGAAUGUAUUUAGGUUGAUGGAGAUGGAUCUGCUGAUUCAUGGAAGACAAUUCGAAUGUACACAAACUUAUGACAGAUCUUUUUGAUUCAUAUGAAUUAGUUACAAUAUCAUAAUUAUACAUAA
This is a long non-coding RNA of Brassica napus (rape), 1680 nucleotides long. RefSeq lists it as uncharacterized. NCBI's taxonomy places the organism in Eukaryota, Viridiplantae, Streptophyta, Magnoliopsida, Brassicales, Brassicaceae. The transcript is spliced from 2 exons. The record is from RefSeq and is a predicted model, not a curated record.